Molecule: long non-coding RNA, 1840 nt
Organism: Lepidothrix coronata (blue-crowned manakin)
Lineage: Eukaryota; Metazoa; Chordata; Aves; Passeriformes; Pipridae
Exons: 2
Source: RefSeq, a predicted model, not a curated record
GGAAGGAUGGUCCAAUUAACUGCCAAGCAGUCAGACAUAAUUCACUCUGACCAGGCCAAUGAGAGACAAGUCCCAGAAAUGCAUGUCCUGUCCAUUUAUGUAACACCCAAACGUUCCCCCCUGGCAAAGUCUCCCCCUCUGGAAGUGUUACCUAACUAAGGAGCAAGCCAGCAUAGGAAAAUCUACCUGUAUCAGGCUGCAUCCAAACCAACACCCUCUCUGAUUAAGCAACCACCUGUGGUACAGGAGACAUUGCCAGUCACUAAACUGCUGAACUCAGGCACUAACAGCCAUCAUCAAGCAGACAGCCAGAAAGCUCAGUGCAAGGUUAUCCAGGGUACACACCACUGUGCUGUCUUCUCACGUAUCAAUGAACGGGGCAAGAUGUAGAAAGCACAAAAAGGAAAAAAAACCCUGCCUUGUAGGGUGUAGGUAGGCAGGCUUCAUCUCCUUCUUCUGAGUCUCUUCUGCUAGCACAGAAAUAGGCAGAAUGUUACUGAAGUGAUAUGACAAUGUUAAAAACAAACAAACAAAUAAAAAACCUGAAGGCAAACCAUAUGUAACAGCUGAUUAGGAAAGCUGUGAAUCCAGCCACACAGCUGCUCUUCAUGUCCUCUGCCACGCUUAGUACCCCACUAGUCCAGGGGAAACAGGAGGGCACAGAGAAAGAGGAAGAGGAGAAAUUUCACAAAAAAUGCUGGAAUGAAAAGAGAAAGUUCUCAGUGAACCACAGUUCUAGCUUGGGAUCCAUCACCUAGGAGGCAGCAGGCAUUUAAAGUGGAGACAGAAGAAAAAAAGAAAGAAAAAAAAAAGCCCACCAAACAUUGAUUCAUAAAUACAAAAUUCAUAUGAUGUUUAUCAAAAGAGUGGAAUCUUUAUUCUGCAACAAAUAUGUGCAGGUGGCACCUGAUCCAUCCUUAGAUAAGGCACCUUUUUUUGUAUAAUCCUCUUCAUUUUUAAGUGCUAGACUUAAGACUGUCAUGUUUAGAAAUAUAUGCUUUAUGCACUAUGAGCAGGAGUGUAAAAAACCCCAGUUGUGUGAAAUAUUCACGUUACGUAUGGCAACAUCCUAUUUGUCAGCCAGUUACCAGGAGCUAAGGAAUCUGUGUGGUACUAGCAAAGUUGCCUUGCAGCAGGGUGUUAGAGCAAGCACGAAUCGGACUAUAUAUGGUAUGUUUACUGAACGAUUAGGCAUAAAGAUGUUACAGAAGAAACGAUGUCUCUUGUAUUAGAUGCUGGGCUUCCUGCUGCAAGGCAAACCAUCUUGCUCGGAAAGCAGUCUGUCACAUAUUCCUCAUACGCUUCUGGCUGCGGGUGCCAGUGAAACCUCUAGAAAACAGGAACAGGUUAUGCUGCAUGUAAUGAUUAACUACAUGGAGGAUCAGCACUCCAAGCUCCGCCCGCCAGCAUUCCCUGUCUCCUUGCUGCUCUUCCUCCCCCGCUACUUUUCGCUGGGACUGUUCGGCAGGCAACCCUGCGGAGGGCAGGAAGGCACACACACAGGCACAUGCUGCGCUGCCUCUGCGACGAGAUGACGGCCAAAGCCAAGUUGCAGCCCCUUCUCUCCUCUGACUCCUUUCAUGCUCCAUCACACUCCAGCACAAACAUAGGCACACGGGAAGGAGACGCCAGAAAACAAAACACUGUGUUCAUCACAGACUGAAACUGGAUGCAUAGUUUCUUUACUGGAAGGAACUGGAUCAACUCACCAGGACCAUCAGCCCUCAAGUGCCAGACUUCUCACCUUCAUUGCUGCUUUUUGACAUUUAGCAACUCCUCAAGAAACCGUCAAAACUAUACAAAGUGGUAAGGGGGUGGGAAAACAAAGCAAAAAAAAAAA